CAAUUGAUUAUGUACGUAGUCGAAACAUAGUAUUUCUAAAGUGGUAGGGUUCCAUUACCUUUAUUCAAGUGUUCUAAGCGUACAACUCCAGACAUGUUUCUCUAUGUUCCGUUACAGACACACGACCUUCCUCUUUGAGUGACGGUUUCGAUAUUAGGGACUACGAUUUCGGACGUACAAGUUCAGACGUCUCAAAUGAGUAUAAUGACAUACUUACUAAUUAUGUCUCCCUCGGGAAAACAGUCCAGUAAAUUAGUAAUUUAGUAUGCAUUUUAAUAGAGUCCAUUGAAUGAUGAUGGAAACAAGCUUUUAUUCACGGCAAUUGAAUCAUGUGGAAACGUGAUUUUAACAUGAUUUAGGCACUGUGAAUAAAACCCUGUCUCCCUCAUAAAGUAAAAGAUGGACUUGGUUCAACAAUAAAGUAAAGAUUCUCCGUUUCUCAAGGAGGACCAAUCAAACGGUGUAAAAUAUACAGACAGAUACACGUAAUGAUUAAGUGAUAUACGUGGAAAUCAAGGGUCAAAACCGAGUGAAAGAACUACGUAGAGCCUACUCUCCUUUCCUUACCUAUUAGACUGUUCGUUACAAGCCCGUAUGGGAAUAUAAAUGCAGACUACUUUACGACGCCCACGUUUGAUUAGUUCUGACGACGGUACUCGUUUUCUCGUCUGUAAUGAAUACUCUUUUGUUAUUUUCUUAGAAGGUACUGAUGUAUGGUGCUGCUCAGUUUCUGCUACUUUCGUGAUGAGGUAACCACCACAAUCGUUCACCUCAGACCUCCCUCUUGUUGUGUUUCAUCCUUUAACUAAGGGAGCGGGAGCGAACGAAGUUGCUGGGGCGGGCAGAACCACCCCAGCUAAGGGGGUAGCGGGCUGAGUAGAGUCUGCUCCAUCAGCUUUAUUAAGAUACGAAGUCUAUUAAGUGGUUACGUAAACAAAGUAGUAAAGAAAAACUGAUAAUUGACGCACUCGUUCACAGAUUAUUAUUUUUUCAAGGGGUAACCCAGCGAUGAUGUUGAUUUACCCGUACACUUAUCGACAUCUUGCAUGAGAUAAAACAAGGGGUAACUUCCCGUUACAAGGAUAACCAGAGAGCUUUCUUGACUUUCUUUACGUUGGAACUGUUAACUUACGGGUGUAAGGAACAACCUCUAGUAUCUCGAUAUAUGUAAUUACUCAAUAAUACAACUACGUGUGACGUAACGUAAAUGAUUUGAACAAAAGAAGAAUGGUCUAGGUCACCAUUACAUUAAAACCAGCCCGUCCCCAAACACUUCUUUUGAUCGUUCCAAGUAUCUACGUGGGUCCACCUUAUGAAUGAAAGGUUUACAGUUCAUAAAAAUUUUUUAAUCUGUAUAUUUACAGACUCAGGAAACACACGAACAGUUUAUAGUACGUUUUUACUAUUUCUCCUGCUCCAAUACUCCAUUACACGAGCCCGCCCUCCUUCUCCAUGACCAAGUUUGGUACUUUCAAGAAUCGAGUAUUAACGAUGGUUAAGAUGUCUUUUCCAACACUAAAACAAUUGGACUGAUCUCGAAAGUACAAUACAGUCAGGAAAUAAAUCUACUAAAUCGACAACUGGAUGGCAAGGAAAGAUAGUAGGUACCCGAUUUUUUACUUAAUAGUUGUUCAUACCACUAUCGGUCGCAAUGACACUAGAGGUUUCUUGUUAUUGAUACGUUGUAUCACGACUUGAAACUGUAAAAGCAAAACGAUAUUUAAAGGAAAAUUAUAAAGCAUUAAACAAAUUAAUUAGAAAGAUAAUUAUAAACCAAAGUGAUAUCAUUUAAAUAAACUUCCAGAGGUACUACCGUAUUAAGAUACAUCUGACUACACAGCUAAUAAAACCGUACGUAAAUAAACGGGUUGUAAUGGAUCUAUGAAUCACGGUAAUGUUACUGUAGGGCAAAAUAAAGUCUUUCACUAACGAGGUAGUGUAUGUGUAAUUUUCUUUAACGUGUUGACGUGGUACCGAUAGGUCAUAUAGUUCGUUCUAAUUAGAUUUGUAUGGAAUGUCGUAGAGUAAUGAGGGCAGCUUCAUUAGAUUUGUACAAGAAUUACCGCUGUUUAAACUCGUCUUCUAUAAGAAUUACCGUUGUUCAUUGAUUAAGAAAGCAAAGAUACCUUAUACAUUUAAGUAUACGUCCAUUCGUCCAAUUAGAUUUGUACGGAAUGUCAUAGGGUAAUGAGAACAACUUUAAAAUAUGACAAUCUAAAGUGGAAACAAACAUAAUUUAUAGACUUCAUUGCCUCGAACUAAAAGUCAAAACAAAAAAGUGAGUGAAGUAUCGGUUGUAAUGUCACCAUAUACAACAUACAUAAAGUCGUGAUGUGAAAAGGGAGCCAGAUAUAUCAGUGACAAUGAACGGAUUUCUGGCCCUUAAAAGCAACAAGGCAAAGUUGUUGUGCCAUAUUUAGGUUUAUCAAUGAUAAUGGACUCCUGUCGAACAGAAGGGGUUGUACCCUAAACAACAAUUGAGAUGAGUAGAAGCUACAAAUAUGUACUAACCGUUCACAGUCGUUGAAGAGCACAAGUGAAAACCAAUCGUUUCCAAAACUAUAUUGUCAGUCUAUAAAUACAAACGCUAAUCGAGUAUCCACUCUGAGACCCAAGGGGAGGGGAGACAGCUAGCGAGGUCGUCGCUCUCCCAGCCCCUCGGGGACAAGAGACGAAACCACACAUAUAUCCCACACACCUCUAAAGCAGAGGACCGAAGCAGGGGUACCGCCGACCCGCACGAAGUAGGGAGUAGUACCUCGGAUCCUCAGUACAAGUCCUCAACCUCGCCGCGGUCUAGAGGGGUACAGAGCAGGAACCACCAAGAAGUAGUACAACGUAGAGGCCACACGACCAGGAUGACCUGGCUCCAACUGCUGAAGGACCGGCGUUUCUUGGACAGACGUGAGAUGUUCUAGUACGACCGUUUUACAUCUCGCCGCGGACUAGAGGGGUACGGAGUAGGAACCACGAAGAAACAGUACAACGUGGAGGCCACACUACCAGGAUGACCUGUCUCCAAUUGCUGAAGGACCAGCGCUUCGUAGGCAGGCGUGAGAUGUUCCAGUGCAGCCGAGGUACAACCUCGCCCUCGCGCGGAACUCGGGCGUAGACUCAAACAACAUAGACUCAAACACCACCCAGCUUCGGGGUUCCUGGGCUAACACUAAACACAAAAGAGAUCCCACGAAUAUGGUGACCACAAGAAAUUAUAUACUGGACCCAGAAGAGGUGUUCUUUCCCACUAUAGAUAGUAAACAUUACGUAACGUGUGAUGUCUCAAUAC
RNAcentral lists this ribosomal RNA (3286 nucleotides) under Triticum aestivum (bread wheat). Its description in RNAcentral is "partial small subunit ribosomal RNA". Lineage: Eukaryota; Viridiplantae; Streptophyta; Magnoliopsida; Poales; Poaceae. The record is from RNAcentral.